UUGGGGAAUUUUGGACAAUGGGCGAAAGCCUGAUCCAGCCAUGCCGCGUGCAGGAUGAAGGCCUUCGGGUUGUAAACUGCUUUUGUACGGAACGAAAAGACUCUGGUUAAUACCUGGGGUCCAUGACGGUACCGUAAGAAUAAGCACCGGCUAACUACGUGCCAGCAGCCGCGGUAAUACGUAGGGUGCAAGCGUUAAUCGGAAUUACUGGGCGUAAAGCGUGCGCAGGCGGUUAUAUAAGACAGAUGUGAAAUCCCCGGGCUCAACCGGGGAACUGCAUUUGUGACUGUAUAGCUAGAGUACGGCAGAGGGGGAUGGAAUUCCGCGUGUAGCAGUGAAAUGCGUAGAUAUGCGGAGGAACACCGAUGGCGAAGGCAAUCCCCUGGGCCUGUACUGACGCUCAUGCACGAAAGCGUGGGGAGCAAACAGGAUUAGAAACCCGUGUAGUCC
This 450-nucleotide ribosomal RNA is filed under the name uncultured bacterium. RNAcentral describes it as "partial 16S ribosomal RNA". It matches the Rfam family "Bacterial small subunit ribosomal RNA", at positions 354 to 796 of the family's 1533-position model. The record is from RNAcentral.